Molecule: ribosomal RNA, 460 nt
Filed under: uncultured bacterium
Lineage: Bacteria
Description: partial 16S ribosomal RNA
Rfam family: Bacterial small subunit ribosomal RNA
Source: RNAcentral
CCUACGGGUGGCAGCAGUGAGGAAUAUUGGUCAAUGGACGAGAGUCUGAACCAGCCAAGUAGCGUGAAGGAUGACUGCCCUAUGGGUUGUAAACUUCUUUUAUAUGGGAAUAAAACGUUCCACGUGUGGGAUUUUGUAUGUACCAUAUGAAUAAGGAUCGGCUAACUCCGUGCCAGCAGCCGCGGUAAUACGGAGGAUCCGAGCGUUAUCCGGAUUUAUUGGGUUUAAAGGGAGCGUAGGUGGAUUGUUAAGUCAGUUGUGAAAGUUUGCGGCUCAACCGUAAAAUUGCAGUUGAAACUGGCAGUCUUGAGUACAGUAGAGGUGGGCGGAAUUCGUGGUGUAGCGGUGAAAUGUUUAGAUAUCACGAAGAACUCCGAUUGCGAAGGCAGUUCACUGGACUGCAACUGACACUGAGGCUCGAAAGUGUGGGUAUCAAACAGGAUUAGAUACCCCAGUAGUC